RNAcentral lists this non-coding RNA (242 nucleotides) under Eshraghiella crossota. Its description in RNAcentral is "Butyrivibrio crossotus T-box sequence". It matches the Rfam family "T-box leader". From Rfam's summary of the family: Uncharged tRNA acts as the effector for transcription antitermination of genes in the T-box leader family. T-boxes are found upstream of many aminoacyl-tRNA synthetase genes and some amino acid biosynthetic genes usually in Gram-positive bacteria. Lineage: Bacteria; Bacillati; Bacillota; Clostridia; Lachnospirales; Lachnospiraceae. The record is from RNAcentral.
UUAAAUGCUGUGAAAGGAACAAGUAGUGUUCUGACGAUUCCAACAGAGAGCUGCCGGCUGAUGAGAGGCGCAGGAUAGUUAUUACAUGAAUACCUCCCCGAGCUUUGCACCGAAGUAACAGUAGGCUGCAACGUAGGACAUACGUUAUAAUGUCAGGGUAUCGAGAUUUCUGUACCCGGUAAGGUAUCGGAUGUGAGUCCGGUAUGAAUUAAGGUGGUAACACGGCAUAUGUCGUCCUUUAG